Long non-coding RNA from Marmota monax (woodchuck), 10519 nucleotides. RefSeq lists it as uncharacterized. NCBI's taxonomy places the organism in Eukaryota, Metazoa, Chordata, Mammalia, Rodentia, Sciuridae. The record is from RefSeq and is a predicted model, not a curated record. The transcript has 3 exons.
CUGGGAAUUGAACUCAGGGGCACUCAACCACUGAGCCACAUUCCCAGCCCUAUUUUGUAUUUUAUUUAGAGAGAGGAGGGCCUCACUGAGUUCCUUAGCACCUCACUUUUGCUAAGGCUGGCUUUGAACUCACUAUCCUCCUGUCUGAGCCUCCUGAGUUGCUAGGAUUAUAGGCGUGCAUCACUGCACCAGGCUUCUUAUGUUGUUGUUUUAAUACUUUUUUUUUUUUAGUUAUAGAUAAACGCAAUACCUUAUUUAUUUUAUGUGGUGCUGAGGAUCGAACCCAGUGCCUCACACGUGCCAGGCAAGCGCUCCACCACUGAGCCACAACCCCAGCCCUUGUGUUGUUUUUGACACAGUAAUGAGACAAAUUAAGAAACUUUGAGUGCUUGCUUCAGCAGCAUAUAUACUAAAAUUGGAACGAUACAGAGAAGAUUAGCAUGGCCCCUGCGCAAGGAUGACACUCAAAUUCGUGAAGCGUUCCAUAUUUAAAAAAAAAAAAAAGAAAGAAAGAAACUUUGAAUUCACUUCCAGAAAAUAGUUCUUGGUCUACAGCAGGUCAAACUUGACAAUGUGGCAAGUUGUAAGUCCUGAACUUUUGAGUGGAAGGAAUAUAAAAUUCACAUGGUGUGGCUUUUGUAGUCUAGAGGCACCGAGUGUCCACAUGUACAUAAACACAUCCGUUUGCUUGUAGACAGGCCCCCAGCAGAGCGGAGCCAUAAACAAAUGGAGUGAAAUGUGAGAUGGUGAAGAACAGGUUGGACACCAAGCCCCCACGCUGAUUGCCUCUGGGGCAUUAUCUUGGUUUUGUCCCUCUGUCAGGUGAAACCCAUGCCCUCUCUGGAGCUGCAGCCUCAGAGGCCCUCAGGCUCUGGGCAGGUGGUAGGUGCAGGGGGCUGUGGAAGCUAGAGAGCUCUGACCCAGGGAAGCAGGCCCCUGGGGAAAGAGCCUACUUUUGUAGAAAUCAGACAGACUUUAUAUGAAAUCCACUUACUGGUUGGCAACUCCCUGACCACCUGUGGCCACACAGGGUGCUGUGACGGUUCUAGUGUGGGCAGAGGGGCGCAUCCUAUGGUCUGGCAGAGGGUUUCCUUCCACUUGAGUUUUCAUGAAGCUUUGGUUUAUGAUUGUGACCUCGCUCUCACAGAACGUUUGUCACAGAUAACGUUUUUUUCAUUUCAUCAGGUCUUAGAGGAAAGAGUGUUUAUGGUCCUACUUUAUCCUGUCAUCCUUACCCAGAUCCUAGAUGUCCUUUUUUUUCCUCUCUCUUUUCCUUUUGUGUGUGGGUGUGUGUGUGAGAGAGACAGAGAGAGAGAAAGACACUGAAGCCAGGGGCGCUCCACCCCUGAGGUAUAUCCCUAACAUUUUUUAUUUUUUAUUGACUGUCUCACUGAGUUGCCCAGGCUGGCCUUGAACUCAGCAACCCUCCUGCCUCAAGCCUCCUGAGUCUUUGGAUGACAGGUGUGCAUCACCACACCCGGCCACAGUCAUCCAUUUUUACAAAAAUUCUUGAAAUAAAACUAACUGUUCACUUACAUGCUUUAAAAAAAAAAAAAAAAAAACACGAUACACGGAUUUUCUUGAGGGAUAAUUUUAUACAUGAAUUACAUAGCUGUGAUAACAGCUGAAAUUCACAAGGAAAGCUUUCUUAUUUACUAAUUCCUAACAAUUCCAUGUUUGGACUUCUUAAAUAGCUUCAGCAAACACUUGGGUAUUUGUAAGGUGUGUUUACUUUUAGCCUGUGACAACCUAUAUAAUUCUGAGUUAGACGUUAUUAAACCCAUUGUACAGAGCUAGAGGUUGAUCCCCUGCCAUCCUACCCACUGCUUUUUCUUAUUUUAUUUAUUUUUUAUUUUUUCAUGUACCAGGGAUUGAACCCAGGGGUGUUUAAACACUGAGCCACAUCACCAACUCUUUAUUUUCUGUUUUGAAACAGGGUCUCACUAAGGUGCUUAGAUAUGCAACCCCCGCUUGCAUAUCUUUUUAAAGAUUCUGCUCUGUGUAUUACAAAACACGUACUCUGCAGAACAGAGCUCCAGUUCCCAGCUGAGGAUGCUGCAUUCAAAGGGCAGCCCUGAAAACAGCAAGCUAUCAUCUUCUAUUGCAUGCCUGCAUGAAUCUCCCAACUGGUAUCUCUGCCAGGUUGUUCUCAACCAAAUCAACCAAAUCCUCUGUCAACUGGUGGCAUGUAUACCAUGGGAUCACUCAUCCCUUGAAGCUGAUUGGACCAGGGGAGACCAUCCAUUGAUUAUCAGCUAAUCAGAUUCUCCACUGGACUUCAUCUUCUUGAAAUACCUGUGUAGCCUUUAAAUCUGUACUCUUUGUGAACUGUUUGCUUCCAAAUCCACCAAAAGCACAGAAAUUGCAAGUAAGAUCUAGACAUUUUCGUAGUUAUUUUGUCAAUUGUCUAUGGAAUCUAAUGGUUUAAAAAAAAAAACAUAGUUCGUAAUUUACAGGUCUUAUCAUUUUUCUCUUAAUUUUCUAAAAAAUAUUAAUACGAUGUUUCAGAAAGCAAAACUAAAACCAGGCGGUGGUGCACGCCUGUAAUCCCAGCAGCUUGGGAAGCUGAGGCAGGAGGAUCGAGAGUUCAAAGCCAGCCUCAGCAAGAGAGAGGCCCUAAGCAACUUAGGGAGACCCUGUCUCUAAAUAAAAUACAAAACAGGGCUGGGGAUGUUGCUCAGUGGUCGAGUGCCCCUGAAUUCAAUCCCUGGUACAAAAAAGAAGAAAGCAAGUAAGACAGACGAAAGUCCUUCACCAGGGAUAAUUUGAGAUGCACUGCUUUAAAUAAUAUGUUCAUUUCCUUUCGGAGAGGAGGGGACCCAUCUGCAGUGAGUUUCUUUUCCUCUUCAACAAGCUCUACAAUGAUGCAGGAGCCUUGCUAUAACCUGAUCAACAGAGCGGGGGCUGUCAGGGUCUGAUCCCAAAGCUUUGCUUGCGGCUAUGAUUGAGGUAAUUGCAAUGGACUCCAGACCAAUGAAGCACUCAGACAACCAGGGGGAGGGAACGAAAGAUAAAGAUGAACUUAGUAUUUUGAGAUAAGCAGGACAUGAUGUCAACUGGAACAUAAUACACGGAACCACAUGGCCUGGAAUUAAGUGGCAUAAUGAGAUUUGUAGAGCACUCAAUCAUCUAAAAGCAAUUUUAUGUAAAGUAUUUUAUUUAUUCCUUUAGAAAGUCAGUAGGGUAAGCAGAGCAGAUAUAAUUUCUGUUUUCCAAAUGAGUACACUGUGAUUCAGAAAGGUUAACGAUAAGCCAGUGUGACACUUAGCUGAGAUACCAGUGUGACACUUAGCUGAGAUAACGCCAAAUCCUAAUGGGGUUUAAUCUUCUGCCUACAUCAGGGGUUCCUACCCCUCAUGGGGUCCAAGCAGCCUUAUGCAGUUGGCUACAAUUGUAGACCUUUCUUCCUCUUCCACCCCACAGCUAUGCAGACAGCAAAAUUAUAUGGCAAAUUUUAGGGGUCUCCUACACUGCUGUUUUCAACAGGAAUGUGGUGUGGUGGCACACGCCUGUAAUCCCAGUAACUCAGGAGGCCAAGGCAGGAGGAUCACAAGUUGGAGGGAGCAUCAGCAAUUUAGCAAGGCCCUAAGCAACUUAGGGAAAUCUUGUCUAGAAAUAAAAAAUAGGAGGGCUGAGGUGUGGCUCAGUGGCAGAGCACUUGCCUAGCAUGUGUGAGGCACUGGGUUUGAGUCUCAGCACUUCAUAUGAAUAAAUAAAUAAAAUAAAGGUCCUCCUGCCUCAGCCUCCCAAACCACUGGUAUUACAGGGGUACACCACCAAGCCAAGCUUCUCCAGUCAUUUCCUACUUUUGACUCAUCUGCAAGCCCACAGAGAAUUCAGUCACCUGCAGUUUCAGAGAAUUCAGGGUGGAGGAACAUAUCAGGGAAAAAGAAAGUGAUACUUAGCCUAGGCCUUCCAGGAGAUGCCAAUCUGGCAAAUUCAAAGACCCACAUGCUGGACAAGAUGGCGAGAUGAAAAGGUUGAUACAGAGGAUUCUUGGGAAAGAAAUUUGAAGAAGUAAUGAAUGACCAAAUGUUAAGAGUCUUGAACAAGAAGCUAAAGCAUGUCAACCUACAAUCUGUGAACUUUAGGGCACCAUGUACAAAAUGGCAUUUUAAGAUUACUAUGGCCAGUUGCAGUGGCACCAACCUGUAAUCCCAGGGACUCAAAGGCUGAGGCAGGAGGAUCGUGAGUUCAAACCCAGCCUCAGCAACUUAGGGAGGACCUAAGCAACUCAGCAAGAUCCUGUCUCUAAAUAAAAUACAAAAAAAAAAAAAAAAAAGGAUGGGGAUGUGGCUCUGUAGUUAAGCACCCCUGGUUCAAUCCCUGGUACCAAGAAAAAGAAAAGAUUACUCUGAGAGUGGUGUGGUUUGAAAGGAAGGAUUGGAAACAAGAAAUGCAAUUCAACAGAGCAGAAAUGAAACAUGCCUGGAAGAAAAGUUGACAGGCAAGAUGGCUAAGGACACUCCUAGGAGAUGGUGAGCUUAUGAGCCUUGGGCUGCUCGCCUGGAGAGCAGAAACGAGACGUGCAGGUAUCAAGCUCACUCCUGGCAAGGCCACCUCCUGACCAGGUGAAUCAGUGAGGUUACAAGGAGCCACUUUCAAACUUCGAUCAUGUAUUAAAGCAAAGAGAAUAAUUUAGGUAAUUUACAGAUUGCAAAAAGAAUAAGCCAAAGAUGCUAGGUCCCUGUGACUUUUGUCUCACCCACCAAGAAGUCCACUACCACAACUAAGAGGCCCAGUGCAUGCAGUGUCUCAGGACAGCUCCCUGCUCGACAGAAGGUGGCCCCAUAGCAGCUCCCUCCAUGUCCAUGAAGAUCACAAGGCGUUCUGCCAAGACUCAGAUAAACCACUGUUCAAGACAUUGCCUAAGCAGAUAUGAGCAAGGUCACUGUGACACCAUCACAGAGUCAUGCCCCCACACAGGAUGGCACCUUUUUGAGACCAGAUCUCGCUAAGCCACUAAGGCUGGUCUCCAACUUGCUAUCUUCCUGCCUCCCCCUCCUGAGUACCUGACUUGAUUUUCUUUCUAGCCCUUUCUCCCAAUUAACAUUGAUCUAUGUGCCGUCUGUUCCCUCUAAUAGAAUGCACAGCCCACCAAGGCUGGGAUCAGGGUUUGUGUUUCCACUGCUGCAUCCCCAGCAGGAGAACGAUGCCUGGUGUCUACUCAGUCCUCAAGAUGAAUUUCCUGCAUGAAUAAGUCAAUGGCAGCCCUUGGAACAACUGUAGCCUUGUACAGGGGACCUGCAGAGGCAUGUGGGGGUAGGGGAGAAAUGUCCUAAAGAGGGAAGCCCCGAAUGAUCAGUGACUCAGGAGGGCCGUUCUUGGACGACACCAUGUUCAGCAAGUCGGUCUCUGCUGAUCAGUUCUGCUUUGUUAAGGAAUGUGGGGGUGUAACUAGCAGCCUGGGAAGCAAGUGUCCAGUGGGAAGGAACAGAUCAAAGAUGCAAAAGUGAGGUGAUAGCUGUGGAUUAGAACCCAGCGCUGACUUAGAUCUUUUAGUCCCCAGCUUGCAUCAAGGCCGGGAGUUAUCACUUCCCAUAUCCUCCCCUUUUCCCAGCAUACAGGCUGCUGGUUCCUAAAAGUGGGCAGCAGUGCCUGCUAUAGCUACUUACUCUUUGGCUACCUUCCAGAUGGGUGACAGAUAAGAGGGCACUGCAUGUCACUGUUAGAAUGUUUUUUUGGUACCGGGAAUUAAACUCAGGGACACUCAACCACUGAGCUGCACCCCCAGUCCUAUUUUGUAUUUUAUUUAGAGACAGGGUCUCACUGAGUUGCUUAGUGAUUUGCUUUUGCAGAGGUUGGCUUUGAACUCACAAUCCUCCUAUCUCAGCCUCCUGAGCUGCUGGGAUUACGGGCGUGCACCACCGUGCCUAGUGUUAGAAUGUUUUAAGGAAAUCUGGCUUGAUACACUACAAUGAAUCCUGUUUGUAUGUAUAAUUACAAUGCACUAAUUGAAAUAAUAAUAAUAAUAAUAAUAAUAGAAGGGAGAUCAGCAGAGCAAGCAGAUGGAAGAGGGGGAGAGGGAAAGAAAAGGUCCUGCAGAAUGAGAUUGAUGGAAUUAUGUAUGUUAUGUGCAUGUAAGAAGGCAGCAUGACCAGUCUCACUAUUAUGUAUAAUUAAAGGCAGCAAUAAAAAAAAAUUUUAAAAUAAACCUGACUUGAGGCAUAUUAAACAGGUAGACAUAAAAAGUACUUGUUUCACCUCGCAUAGGAGCGCAUACCUAUACUCCCUGAGACUUAGGAGGUUGAAGCAGGAGGAUCACAAGAUCAAGGUCAGCCUAGAAAACUUAGAGACCUUGGGUAACUUCUGAAACAUAAAAUGGACUGGAGGUGUAGCUUAGUGAAAGAGUGUUCCUGGGUUCCCCUGUGUGUGUGUGUGUGUGUGUGUGCGCGCGCACGUGCACAUAUAUAUCUAUUAAUAACCCUGCAUUAUUAAUUACCUUUAUUGGACAACCAGAUGCAAUAUUCCUAGAAGUGUUUAAAGCAAAAAACUAAAUUUUUUUUUUAUUAUGGUGCUGGUGUAACAAUGGUCCACUUUAUGCUUUGACUAUAGCCCUUGCUGCUUGGCCACUGCAACUUAUUUUUUAAAUGGACAUGUUUCUUUCUCUUCCUCUCUUCCUGCCCUCCCUAAUUUCUCCCCUUCUCUAAUCUCAGGGGAAACAGGAUUACUUUUCUUUCCCAUUUUAGGCAGAUUUACCUGUCCUUGAGUACACACACAACAUAGAACCUAAGUAAUCCAGAUUUGGGGGAUGGCACCAGAAGAUCUCAGAAAAGAAAUGACUAUCCCCAAAUUAGCAAGUGAAUGACAACUCCAACAGAGAACACGUGAAUGUAGCCUUCUAGUCACCUCUUUAAAAGCCUCUGUUCUUGCUGAUGGGCAGAAUCACAGCCUCUAGGAUGGGAGUCCUCUGGGUUUCUCCUUUGCUAGCAAAGUAAUAAAACUUAUUUUUCCUUUUUCUCAAAAUCAUGUCCUCAUUAUUAGAUUGGCAUCAGGGACAAGGUAACAAAUUUGGCACCCUAGAUGGGACCCAAGAGCAGCCCCCACUCCAGCUUUCUUGGGCAGACCUGGCUCUCCAAAGAACCCCACUUUCAUGCCUGGCUCUCCAAAGAACCCCACUUUCAUGCUGGGAUGCAAGAUGCUAACGAACUUGUUGAGAGCCAACUGCUAGAGCGUUAGGAGAUGGGUGAGUUUGCUAUGGGUUGAACCAGAGGAGCAGUUCCUGUGAGCAAAGGGAGGGACUGAGGGACCCUCCCAGCAGCUGCCAAAGCUCCUUUGGCUUUGGAGAACUUCUGCUUUCUCUCCCAUUGUGGUCCACUUUGAGAAAAAGGAAACUGAACUCAGUAAAGUCACAACACCCUUGGCCAUCUGGUAAGUCCCCCAUGUGCACGCCAAGACCUUUGAUUUUACACACCUGUUUCCUCUUCAUGGGAACAUCUGGUCCCUGUUUGUGGGGACACCUGUGGCACCACUGGUGUAGGAGUCCUGGUUAAGCAGGAUAUUUACUCCCUUCAGAUCUAUUCUAGGUUCUCAUCUGUUUGUUGGCCUUGGGUUUGGGAACUCCCUCCGGUUGACUGUGUUUUCAUUUUGUUUAUAUCUGUUAUUACCUCCUUUUAAAACAUAGCCAAUACUGCACUGAUCCCAUCUGUCAGCCAUGGUUUGGGGGUCCUCUCUGUGGUGGUCUCUCUGUUUUUCUUUUUUGAACAGUCUUACAACUGGAGUUGGUCUGUCAGAGGUAAAGUGAGUUGAAGAAAGGACCACCUACAGGAUAAGCCUGUCUAAGAUAAUGUUUUACUGUAACCAUCUGGCUUUUGAAUAGCUUUCUGGAUUAUUAUACAAUCUUGCUGUUGGAGUUGGUAAAGUCAAUGCUAUCUGAUAUCACUCCUGGUUGUCCACAAAGGAGCUACCAGUUCUUCUUUUGUUAUGGUGGUGAGGCUCUGUGACCUGCCUGGGAUCCGUGCUCAAUAAAUGCAUGAAUCUCUGCUUCUGGGGAAGAUAGGCAGGAAAUGUGGAAACAGCAGAAGCACAUCAAGAUGAUUUUAGUCAGCUGUUAAGAUCUGAAGGAAAACUUGAAGCUCACAAGGUUCAGGGAUCACCCUGCUGCGCCAGGCAGGAGGACCUACCCAGUAUGUUCCCUCCAUGCUGGAAUCGCCUACAGGCCCCAGCCCAAGAAUGGAGAGGCAUAGAACCCGGAGGCCACCUGCAGAAGGGACUAAGGGGUGAGUUCUCAGGAUGCCAUUGUCAACCAAAAUCAAUUCUACAAACAGUGGUGUGAAUGCCGACUCUGUCACAGAGACAGCAUCGCUGAAAUCGAGCACUGUUACUAGUGUCCUUGGGCAAAGACACUGGCCCUGGGGGUGCCAAGAGACAAACUUGGCCACUUGUCCCUAUAUGCCAAUCAAAGAGAUGAAUCGUGGUGAAGGGUGAGAAAGGGAGAACUGGCUCUGGAGCAUUCUCUCUCUCUCUCUCUCUCCAUGGGACCCAGGGCUUUGCAACAUACCAGGCAAGUGCUCUACCAUGGAAGGACAUCCCCAGCUCAGCCCAGGAAAGGAGUUUUUCAACACAGCCACACUGGGACAAACCGACACUGGGGCACAGUGACCAAAGAUCUGUCUUCCAGGGACUGACAGAAACUUUGUGGUUUUACAGAAAAGGGCAAUGAAGGAGGUUUGCAUAGCUGCUGGGGAGGUCGUCCUGGUCAGGUCAUUCUGGUUGAUCAUUAUCUCAGGACUGGUUCUGUAUGGCUCUGGAAAGGUCACCAUGGCUGGAGGGAUGGUUCUGUUCUGAUCACGAGAAGAUUACUCCUGCUCAGGGGGCAACCUCGGCUCUGAUAUGGCAUCACUGCUCAGGCUCCGGGAGAUGUCUCAUCAUGUCUAUGGUGGGUUGAACUGUGCUUCCAGGCUGUUGCUUUGAAGUAGUUUCAGUCCUUUGUCAGAGUGAUGCUUAUCCAUCAGGCCUAUUCCUGGAAUGCAGAUAAUUGCAAGAGGAAGUGGCUCAGAGAAAAAGCACUGAAGCCUUGGAAUGGAGUCAGAGAGCGCCAGGAUGGAGUCCGUCAGGCCCAAUCAGCUGAGGGACCCCCAUUUUCUUCUUUCAUGCAUCUGUGCCACGUUCUCCCUUUCCACAGGCCUCUCUCGGUGCCUCUUUUCCCUCCCCUUCACUCUUAGACCUGCUGUUUUAGGCUCCGGGAAGUAAGCGUGUUGGGAUUGGAGUCAAUACAAUGGGAGUAGCCUAGCACUCCAAGGUCAAUGACAACUGGGGAUCCAUCCAUUAUUCCUGAUGUUACAGACAUCGCAAGACCACCUGGGGCUGGAUGGAGUGGCUCACACCUGUAACCCCAGGAGCUCAGGAGGCUGAGGCAGAAAGAUCUCUAGUUCAAAGCCAGCCUUAGCAACUUAGCUAGGCUCUAAGCAACUUAGCGAGAAACUGUCUCAAGAAAAAAAAAAAAAGGAUGGGGAUGUAGCUCAGUGGUUAAGGAUCCUUGGGUUCAAUUCCCCAUAAAAAAAAAAAAAGGAAGGAGGGAGAAGGAAAGAAAAGGAAGGAAGGAAGGGAGAACUGGUGGGAAAACAUGUAACACCCAUGAGAGAGUCAGUUCAACCCUGGCCAGUGGACCACUCCAAGAGACCACAGGGGACUUUGAAAUAGCCCCCCACCCAUACACAAGCACUCCCAGCUUGGCUGUGUUUUACUAAGGAGUCAUAGAUUACUACCUUGAACUGUGUGUGAGUGUGAGUGUGUGAGUGUGUGUGUGUGUGUGUGUGUGUGUGUGGUGCUGGGGCCUUGUGCGUGUGAGGGAAGCACUCCACCAACUGAGCUAUAUCCCCAGCCCUACCCUGAAUGUCCUUAGAAAUUAGAAAGUGUCCCAGGCCACUGGAAGUGCUAUCUCUGAAUGGGAGGGCCAUUCUGUCACUGACAUUCUGAGCACUUUUGUGGCUACAGUGAGGAGAAAAAGCUGCAAGAGGAGGCGGGGAUGAGAGAGAAGAAAACAUGGGACAUUAAAGAACAGCACGCACACCUGUCAUCCCAGUGACUCAGGAGGCCGAGGCAGGCAGAUCCCAAGUCCCAGGCCAGCAUCCGCAAAUUAGCAAGAACUAAAAAUAACAAGUAAGGGGCUGGGGUUGUGGCUCAGUGGUAGAGCACUCGCCUAGCAUGUGUGAGGCACUGGGUUUGAGCCUCAGCACCCCAUAAAGAUAAAUAAAGGUAUUGUCCAUCUACAACUAAACACUAAAGAUAUUAAAAAAUAAAUAAAUAAAUAAAAAUUGAAAAAAAAAAAUGGACAAGAGGUAGAUAUAGCUCAGUGGUAAAGCACACCGGGAUCCUGUUUUAAUCAGCUUUUUUGCUUCUGCCACUCAAAGACCUGACCAGAACAACUGUAGAGGAGGAAAGAAAAUUUGAUAGCUCACGGUUUCAGAGGUCUUAGUCCAUAGAAGGCUGGCUCCAUUCCUAGAUGCUUGAGGUGAGGCAGAACAUCAUGGCAGAAGAAAGCACCUCACAUGAUCAGGAAGGAGAGAGACAGGGGAGG